This 401-nucleotide ribosomal RNA is filed under the name uncultured bacterium. Its description in RNAcentral is "bacterial SSU rRNA". It matches the Rfam family "Bacterial small subunit ribosomal RNA", at positions 28 to 410 of the family's 1533-position model. The record is from RNAcentral.
AACGAACGCUGGCGGCGUGCCUAACACAUGCAAGUCGUACGGGAAAGUGGGCUUCGGCCCGCGAGUAGAGUGGCAGACGGGUGAGUAACACGUGGGUAACCUACCCGGAGGUGGGGGAUAACCUUCCGAAAGGAGGGCUAAUACCGCAUGACAUCUCAGGGGCCUCGGCCCCGGAGAGCAAGGCUAGCCUCUACAUGUAAGCUAGCGCCACCGGAUGGGCCCGCGGCCCAUUAGCUAGGUUGGNGGGGUAACGGCCCACCAAGGCGACGAUGGGUAGCCGGCCUGAGAGGGUGUCCGGCCACACUGGAACUGAGACACGGUCCAGACUCCUACGGGAGGCAGCAGGUGAGGAAUCUUGCGCAAUGGGCGAAAGCCUGACGCAGCGACGCCGCGUGAGGACG